UUGCGGCUUGGGUGCUGGAUGCGCACCUCGAUCCGUUGUGGGCGGAUCGGCCGGAUGCACGCGAUCUCCGAAGAUCGCUGCCGUCAAC
This 88-nucleotide transfer RNA is filed under the name Luteitalea pratensis. Its description in RNAcentral is "tRNA-His". The record is from RNAcentral. Lineage: Bacteria; Pseudomonadati; Acidobacteriota; Vicinamibacteria; Vicinamibacterales; Vicinamibacteraceae.